RNAcentral lists this ribosomal RNA (449 nucleotides) under uncultured bacterium. Its description in RNAcentral is "partial 16S ribosomal RNA". It matches the Rfam family "Bacterial small subunit ribosomal RNA", at positions 29 to 523 of the family's 1533-position model. The record is from RNAcentral.
AACGAACGCUGGCGGCAUGCCUAACACAUGCAAGUCGAACGAGACCUUCGGGUCUAGUGGCGCACGGGUGCGUAACGCGUGGGAAUCUGCCCUUGGGUUCGGGAUAACAGUUGGAAACGACUGCUAAUACCGGAUGAUGUCUUCGGACCAAAGAUUUAUCGCCCAAGGAUGAGCCCGCGUGGGAUUAGCUUGUUGGUGAGGUAAGAGCUCACCAAGGCGACGAUCCUUAGCUGGUCUGAGAGGAUGAUCAGCCACACUGGGACUGAGACACGGCCCAGACUCCUACGGGAGGCAGCAGUGGGGAAUAUUGGACAAUGGGCGAAAGCCUGAUCCAGCAAUGCCGCGUGAGUGAUGAAGGCCUUAGGGUUGUAAAGCUCUUUUACCCGGGAUGAUAAUGACAGUACCGGGAGAAUAAGCCCCGGCUAACUCCGUGCCAGCAGCCGCGGUAA